RNAcentral lists this ribosomal RNA (497 nucleotides) under uncultured bacterium. RNAcentral describes it as "partial 16S ribosomal RNA". It matches the Rfam family "Bacterial small subunit ribosomal RNA", at positions 28 to 507 of the family's 1533-position model. The record is from RNAcentral.
GAUGAACGCUGGCGGCGUGCCUAAUACAUGCAAGUCGAGCGAACAGACGAGGAGCUUGCUCCUCUGACGUUAGCGGCGGACGGGUGAGUAACACGUGGAUAACCUACCUAUAAGACUGGGAUAACUUCGGGAAACCGGAGCUAAUACCGGAUAAUAUAUUGAACCGCAGGGAUCAAUAGUGAAAGACGGUUGUGCUGUCACUUAUAGAUGGAUCCGCGCCGCAUUAGCUAGUUGGUAAGGUAACGGCUUACCAAGGCAACGAUGCGUAGCCGACCUGAGAGGGUGAUCGGCCACACUGGAACUGAGCCGCGGUCCAGACUCCUACGGGAGGCGGCAGUAGGGAAUCUUCCGCAAUGGGCGAAAGCCUGACGGAGCAACGCCGCGUGAGUGAUGAAGGUCUUCGGAUCGUAAAACUCUGUUAUUAGGGAAGAACAAAUGUGUAAGUAACUAUGCACGUCUUGACGGUACCUUAUCAGAAAGCCACGGCUAACUACGUG